UUCCGGUUGAUCCUGCCGGACCUGACUGCUAUCGGAUUGAUACUAAGCCAUGCGAGUCUUUGUAGUAAUACAAGGCAUACGGCUCAGUAACGCGUAGUCAACCUACCCUAUGGACAAGAAUAAUCUCGGGAAACUGAGCAUAAUUCUUGAUAGAUCAUAAUGCCUGGAAUGGUUUAUGGUUAAAAUGAUUCGUCGCCAUAGGAUGGGACUGCGGCCUAUCAGCUUGUUGGUGAGGUAAUGGCCCACCAAGGCGAUUACAGGUACGGGCUCUGAGAGGAGAAGCCCGGAGAUGGGUACUGAGACAAGGACCCAGGCCCUAUGGGGCGCAGCAGGCGAGAAAACUUUGCAAUGUGCGAAAGCACGACAAGGUUAGUCCGAGUGAUUUCUGCUAAAGAGAUCUUUUGCUAGUUAUAAAACCACUAGUGAAUAAGGGGUGGGCAAGUUCUGGUGUCAGCCGCCGCGGUAAAACCAGCACCUCAAGUGGUCAGGAUGAUUAUUGGGCCUAAAGCAUCCGUAGCCGGCUCUGUAAGUUUUCGGUUAAAUCCAUACGCUCAACGUAUGGGCUGCCGAAAAUACUGCAGAGAUAGGGAGUGGGAGAGGUAGACGGUACUCGGUAGGAAGGGGUAAAAUCCUUUGAUCUAUCGAUGACCACCUGUGGCGAAGGCGGUCUACCAGAACACGUUCGACGGUGAGGGAUGAAAGCUGGGGGAGCAAACCGGAUUAGAUACCCGGGUAGUCCCAGCUGUAAACGAUGCAGACUCGAUGAUGCAUUGGCAUAUAGCCAGUGCAGUGUCGCAGGGAAGCCGUUAAGUCUGCCGCCUGGGAAGUACGUACGCAAGUAUGAAACUUAAAGGAAUUGGCGGGGGAGCACCACAAGGGGUGAAGCCUGCGGUUCAAUUGGAUUCAACGCCGGG
RNAcentral lists this ribosomal RNA (914 nucleotides) under uncultured marine archaeon. RNAcentral describes it as "bacterial SSU rRNA". It matches the Rfam family "Archaeal small subunit ribosomal RNA", at positions 1 to 922 of the family's 1478-position model. The record is from RNAcentral.